AUGGACGGCUCCGCCUCCAAGGGCAAGCGCAAGCGCGGCCGCAAGAGCAAGGCGGCAGCGGACCAGCCCCCGCCGUCCCCCGACGCCCCCGCCGCCGCCGCGGUCGCCGACAACCCCGCCCCGGCCGCCCCCGGCCGCCGCGGGCGCAAGCCGCGACGCGUCGAGGUCGAGGCCCCGGCCGCCGCGGACGCCUCCACCACGCCACGGCGCGGGGACGCGAAGCACCUGACGAACGGAGGGGACGCGGCGAUGGCGGAGCUGGGCCCCGAGGGCUGGGAGGAGGUCGUCAGGGUGGUGCCCUCCAUGGACGCGGUCGUCAAGGUGUUCUGCGUGCACACCGAGCCCAACUUCUCGCUGCCGUGGCAGCGGAAGCGGCAGUACAGCUCCAGCAGCAGCGGCUUCAUCAUCGGCGGCCGGCGCGUCCUCACCAACGCCCACUCCGUCGAGCACUUCACCCAGGUCAAGCUUAAGAAGCGCGGGUCCGACACCAAGUACCUCGCCACGGUCCUCGCCAUAGGCACCGAGUGUGACAUUGCCCUGUUAACUGUCAGUGAUGAUGAGUUCUGGGAGGGAGUUACACCAGUUGAGUUUGGGUCGUUGCCAGCACUUCAGGAUGCAGUCACUGUUGUUGGUUAUCCAAUUGGAGGAGAUACAAUAUCAGUGACAAGUGGUGUGGUCUCUAGGAUAGAGAUACUGUCCUAUGUGCAUGGUUCUACCGAACUUUUAGGGUUGCAGAUAGAUGCAGCUAUUAAUUCAGGAAAUUCAGGUGGCCCAGCUUUUAAUGAUAGGGGCAUAUGUGUUGGUAUAGCUUUUCAAUCUCUCAAACAUGAGGAUGUAGAGAAUAUAGGUUAUGUGAUACCCACCCCAGUUAUCAAGCAUUUUAUUCAAGACUAUGAAAAAUCUGGAGCAUAUACAGGCUUCCCUAUAAUUGGGAUAGAAUGGCAGAAAAUGGAAAAUCCCGAUCUCCGAAAAGCAAUGGGAAUGAAACCUGAUCAAAAGGGUGUUCGUGUUAGGAGAGUGGAGCCUACUGCUCCCGAGUCUGGAUGUCUGCAACCGUCAGAUAUUAUUCUUAGCUUUGAUGGAGUUGACAUUGCCAAUGAUGGUACAGUUCCUUUCAGGCAUGGCGAGCGAAUUGGCUUUAGUUACCUUGUUUCUCAGAAAUAUACCGGUGACAAAGCCCUUAUCAAAGUCCUGCGCAACUCAAAAGUUCAUGAAUUUAAAAUAAAGUUAGCGACCCACAAGCGGCUCAUUGCAGCUCAUGUCAAGGGCAGGCCACCAUCAUAUUACAUUGUUGCUGGCUUUGUUUUUGCAGCUGUCUCUGUUCCAUAUCUCCGUUCUGAGUAUGGGAAAGACUACGAAUAUGAUGCACCUGUCAAGUUGUUGGUCAAGCAUUUGCAUUCAAUGGCGGAAUCACCUGAUGAACAGCUGGUGGUGGUAUCACAGGUGCUUGUGGCAGAUAUCAAUAUCGGUUAUGAAGAUAUUGUCAAUACGCAGGUCCUUGCCGUUAAUGGUCAUCCUGUGAAAAAUUUGAGGGACUUAGUGACAACAGUGGAAAAUUGCAAGGAUGAAUUCUUGAAGUUUGAUUUGGAGUAUGACCAGAUUGUUGUCCUGGAGAGAAAAACCGCCAAGGCUGCUACCGAGGACAUUCUGACAACGCACUGUAUACCGUCGGCCAUGUCUGAUGACCUGAAGGCCUAA
Molecule: ribosomal RNA, 1698 nt
Filed under: Triticum aestivum (bread wheat)
Lineage: Eukaryota; Viridiplantae; Streptophyta; Magnoliopsida; Poales; Poaceae
Description: partial small subunit ribosomal RNA
Source: RNAcentral